This 580-nucleotide long non-coding RNA is filed under the name Pan troglodytes (chimpanzee). Its description in RNAcentral is "long non-coding RNA NONPTRT008394". The record is from RNAcentral. Lineage: Eukaryota; Metazoa; Chordata; Mammalia; Primates; Hominidae.
AUUUCACUGUUUUUUAUGGCUGAGGCUACCCAUUGCUUGAAGCCAACCAGAAGACAGAGGACAAGGCUUCUUGUUGGUUUGAUCCAUGAACCUGGACACAGAACAAGGGGAGGACAGAUGGAAAACAUCCCUGGAGGCCAUCUUGAAGGUCUCCAGCAUCAUUUCGUGUGGAGCCCUAAGGAGUUAAAAGAAAACUUAAAGAAUGGGCUUAUCUGGGGUUGAGAGAAGCAAAUGUUCUGAUAAAUGGGGUCAACUGCAAAAGGCCUGCUAGCACCUAGUGCUCCGCUCACAGCCCGCCUGCACCCAAGCAUUCUGUUGCAAGUGCUCAGCUCACAGCCCACCUGCACCCAAGCAUCUUGUCUACAAGCUUUCAGCUCACAGCCCAUCUGCACACAAGCAUCUUGUUUGCAAGCACUCAGCUCACUGCCCACCUGCACCCAACCAUCCUGUCUGCAAGCACUCAGCUGAAGGAGCACCACCUUAUAAAACUUUCCCUCCAGCCCCUGCCUCUUUGCAGACAGCAGACAACCUUCCUUCUGCUGUCUUACCCAUUGCAUCCUUGCAGUGCAUGUCCUCCUUU